This 731-nucleotide ribosomal RNA is filed under the name uncultured bacterium. RNAcentral describes it as "bacterial SSU rRNA". It matches the Rfam family "Bacterial small subunit ribosomal RNA", at positions 771 to 1501 of the family's 1533-position model. The record is from RNAcentral.
AACAGGAUUAGAUACCCUGGUAGUCCACGCUGUAAACGAUGUCGACUUGGAGGUUGUGCCCUUGAGGCGUGGCUUCCGGAGCUAACGCGUUAAGUCGACCGCCUGGGGAGUACGGCCGCAGGGUUAAAACUCAAAUGAAUUGACGGGGGCCCGCACAAGCGGUGGAGCAUGUGGUUUAAUUCGAUGCAACGCGAAGAACCUUACCUACUCUUGACAUCCAGAGAAUUUGCUAGAGAUAGCUUAGUGCCUUCGGGAACUCUGAGACAGGUGCUGCAUGGCUGUCGUCAGCUCGUGUUGUGGAAUGUUGGGUUAAGUCCCGCAACGAGCGCAACCCUUAUCCUUUGUUGCCAGCACGUAAUGGUGGGAACUCAAAGGAGACUGCCGGUGAUAAACCGGAGGAAGGUGGGGAUGACGUCAAGUCAUCAUGGCCCUUACGAGUAGGGCUACACACGUGCUACAAUGGCAUAUACAAAGAGAAGCGAACUCGCGAGAGCAAGCGGACCUCAUAAAGUAUGUCGUAGUCCGGAUUGGAGUCUGCAACUCGACUCCAUGAAGUCGGAAUCGCUAGUAAUCGUAGAUCAGAAUGCUACGGUGAAUACGUUCCCGGGCCUUGUACACACCGCCCGUCACACCAUGGGAGUGGGUUGCAAAAGAAGUAGGUAGCUUAACCUUCGGGAGGGCGCUUACCACUUUGUGAUUCAUGACUGGGGUGAAGUCGUAACAAGGUAACC